RNAcentral lists this ribosomal RNA (359 nucleotides) under uncultured bacterium. RNAcentral's name for it is "bacterial SSU rRNA". It matches the Rfam family "Bacterial small subunit ribosomal RNA", at positions 29 to 414 of the family's 1533-position model. The record is from RNAcentral.
AACGAACGCUGGCGGCAUGCCUAACACAUGCAAGUCGAACGAAGGCUUCGGCCUUAGUGGCGCACGGGUGCGUAACGCGUGGGAAUCUGCCCUUGGGUUCGGAAUAACUCAGAGAAAUUUGAGCUAAUACCGGAUGAUGACGUAAGUCCAAAGAUUUAUCGCCCAAGGAUGAGCCCGCGUAAGAUUAGCUAGUUGGUGGGGUAAAGGCCUACCAAGGCGACGAUCUUUAGCUGGUCUGAGAGGAUGAUCAGCCACACUGGGACUGAGACACGGCCCAGACUCCUACGGGAGGCAGCAGUGGGGAAUAUUGGACAAUGGGCGCAAGCCUGAUCCAGCCAACGCCGCGUGAGUGAUGAAGG